GCGAUAACUUAGUCCGUAUUUUUAUAAUAAAUCAGAAUAAGAAAUCGAUCUAUAAUCAAUGAAAGCUCAUUUUAUGAGCAUUUUCAAUAUCUAAUUCAUGAUGGAUUUUCUAAAUCUGAUGGACAGCAAUUCUUUUCCAUACUAGCUCUUUAGUUCAUCUGUUUUCUCUUGUGAAUACCAAGACACUUGUUUCCUGGCAAGCUACCAAUGUUGUUUGUGUUGACCUAACAAUUUUUUUUUUUUUGUUUGCAGAAAUAUGGUACGCACCAUUGAAGGUAUCGAAUUAUGUUCCAAGCCAUCAUUUAUUUAUUUGGGUUCCAUUGUAUUCUGCACAGGUGAUGGAACCAAGCAUUAAGCUGCGGAGUGUUUGGAGUCAAUGCCUGGAUUUAAUGAAUGGGUGUGAAUGUAUCAUUUUCCUCUGCGACAAUGCCGGGAUGGGCACCCAUCACAGGUUGUCAAUCUUUUAUCUGCUACGAGUGGCGUAAAAAUUUAACGCUGCACGAAAUAUGGUUCUGUUAUCUGUUUUAUCUCAGCUCUCAUAUUACUGUUCGCACUUCCUGUGGUGAGCUAUGGUGCUCAGAAUUUUGGAGCAUAGAACUUUAUGGCUCCUAAAAUGAGUGGUGGAACCACCUUGCAAGUUAGGCUUAUGAUGUCAGUCGAAAUGAAAUUUCUUAUAUUGCUUC
Molecule: non-coding RNA, 683 nt
Organism: Elaeis guineensis (African oil palm)
Lineage: Eukaryota; Viridiplantae; Streptophyta; Magnoliopsida; Arecales; Arecaceae
Source: RefSeq, a predicted model, not a curated record